CACCAGCCGGAAUAGCAACCGGCGGAGCCCGUGCGCACCGCAGCGCAGCGCAGCGGCCGGGGGGUGCGGGCGCCCUCGCCGCCCGGCUACCUACCGCCGCCUGGGCGCCGCCGCUGCCUCCCUUCCCCGCUUCUACCCUCCAGCAGACGCCCGCCGGAGCGACCCCUCCCAGGGUGACCGGGGGAAGGUGUUCCACGUGGCCAUAGCGUUUGCGUCACAAUGACCUGGCGGACAGGUGGGAGCCACAGCGUACACCCCAGGGUUCCCUCUGUGCUGUGCGUAGUGCCUACUGCUUGCUUCCAGGUUAAAUUUCUGUAGCUUUAGAGGACAGGAGACUUCAUGACUUCACUGCCAAGAAAAGUUACAGAGGCCUGCUGUACCUGGAAAUCAAGUUUGAGCUUCGAGAAUAAAGGUCAUGUUUUAAAAACA
Molecule: long non-coding RNA, 429 nt
Filed under: Homo sapiens (human)
Lineage: Eukaryota; Metazoa; Chordata; Mammalia; Primates; Hominidae
Description: ICA1 antisense RNA 1
Source: RNAcentral